AAAUAAAAUGUAACACUAAUUAAAUAAAAAUAAAAUUUUGUUGGAAUGAAAUACAAACAUGAAAUGAAAUAUAAAUUCCUAUGAAAUGAAAUGUGAAGUGGAUAUUUUUGUGGCUUAUCAGACUGGGUUGUUGGGUUUGUUGGCCGGAUCCAUAAUCCAGACCCGACAGCAUAUAAGGGUUUGGAACCCUUUGGAUCAUGUCAUCUCUUCUGUUCCUUUUGUCUUUCUCUUCAAAACUCUAGCCAACCUUCUGAAAUCCUAGCCGCCUUAUGUUGGAGAUGGGUGUGUCCUGC
Molecule: long non-coding RNA, 293 nt
Filed under: Elaeis guineensis (African oil palm)
Lineage: Eukaryota; Viridiplantae; Streptophyta; Magnoliopsida; Arecales; Arecaceae
Description: long non-coding RNA (EGUI_LNC054255)
Source: RNAcentral